RNAcentral lists this ribosomal RNA (479 nucleotides) under uncultured bacterium. RNAcentral describes it as "bacterial SSU rRNA". It matches the Rfam family "Bacterial small subunit ribosomal RNA", at positions 321 to 817 of the family's 1533-position model. The record is from RNAcentral.
GAGACACGGCCCAGACUCCUACGGGAGGCAGCAGUAAGGGAUAUUGGUCAAUGGGGGAAACCCUGAACCAGCAACGCCGCGUGAGGGAAGACGGUUUUCGGAUUGUAAACCUCUGUCCUCUGUGAAGAUGAUGACGGUAGCAGAGGAGGAAGCUCCGGCUAACUACGUGCCAGCAGCCGCGGUAAUACGUAGGGAGCGAGCGUUGUCCGGAUUUACUGGGUGUAAAGGGUGCGUAGGCGGCUGUGCAAGUCAGUAGUGAAAUCCAUGGGCUUAACCCAUGAACUGCUAUUGAAACUGCACAGCUUGAGUGAAGUAGAGGUAGGCGGAAUUCCCGGUGUAGCGGUGAAAUGCGUAGAGAUCGGGAGGAACACCAGUGGCGAAGGCGGCCUACUGGGCUUUAACUGACGCUGAGGCACGAAAGCGUGGGUAGCAAACAGGAUUAGAUACCCUGGUAGUCCACGCUGUAAACGAUGAUUACU